CAUGUAGGCGGUUUAUUAUGUGGAAAUAAAAGUCUAAAGAACAACUUUACAUAAUUAUUUUUCAAACAAAUAAACUAAGAGUAUAAUAGAAGUAUGUUGCACUUUCAGUGGAGAGGUAAAAUGCGUAAAUAUUGUAGAGACAAUCAAUAGGUGAAAACGACUAACUAUAUUAUUACUGACGCUGAAAUGCAAAAGCAUGGGUAUCAAACAA
Molecule: ribosomal RNA, 211 nt
Filed under: uncultured bacterium
Lineage: Bacteria
Description: partial 16S ribosomal RNA
Rfam family: Bacterial small subunit ribosomal RNA
Source: RNAcentral